AUGCAUCCGCCAGUUGCAAGAAUCAAACAAGUCAAGACAACAACCAAAAGAGGAUGAGAUAUAUGGGUCAUCAGGAUCCAAAUAAGCACCAUGCGUGAUAUGCCUACCUCGGGAGUAGAGGAACAUCACGGAGGAAAUAAAAAAGGGACAAUAGAGAGAUAAACAGAGAGGGGAUGUUGGAACCUCGCUGGCACACGCUACCUCCACUCGAGUUCGACAUAGAGAUGGACGACAACGGCUUCCCAGGCAAGGUGGGCCAAGGAAACUGCGUGCCCCACGCUACGAAUGAACAUGCUAUUCUCUCGGUCGUCCUGCUCCCGACGGCAGGCGAGGCAGGAGGCGGCGGAUCUGGCUGCUCCUCCAGCAUGGAUCCGGCGGUGGCGGACGGAAUCAAGGCGGAGGAGAACAAAGCCGACGGAGAGGUGGUCGGAGGCGGCGAGCUCCAAGGCGGGGUGGCGGCUGGCUGGCCUGCUGGAGGCGGCUCGGGGCAGAGGAGCGCUCCUCUCCCGGCGCCGUCGGAGGUGGCAACGAGGCAGCACGGGGCGGCUGCUCCCAACGAGGUGAAGAGAAAAGGGGAUUUUGCUUUGAGUAUAGAGAAAGGGAAAAAGAAACGGGAUAAGAACAAGUGUGGAGCCUGCGUCCUUGGAGAUAAGAUAGAUCGAGCCGCCAUGUACAGUAGUUGUGCAUUCCCUCAAAGAAAAAGAAAUAGACUGUGUAGUGCGUAGCUAUGGCAUGUGGUGCAUAGGCAGCACAGAUGAC
RNAcentral lists this ribosomal RNA (759 nucleotides) under Triticum aestivum (bread wheat). RNAcentral's name for it is "partial small subunit ribosomal RNA". The record is from RNAcentral. Lineage: Eukaryota; Viridiplantae; Streptophyta; Magnoliopsida; Poales; Poaceae.